AAUUAGCUUGUAACUUUAAAUUCCUUUUUCUAUUUUAUCUUUUUAUCUCACAGUUCAUUUUUUUAUCAUCAUUUCUUUAUCUUCUUAUCUUAGUAGCACGUGUAUGGUAGUUUUGUAAAAAAAUUUCUAAUACCUUUAACUUUUAUUUAGUACUAAUUAUUCUUAUUUUUCUUAUUUAUGUACUGAGACGCAAGCUGUCGAACAGGAACCCGCAGAGGUGUUCGAUUUAGCAAUCUCAGGGGCCAUGAAUAGAAUCAAUCACUGCAGGAGUACUCUCAGAGACGAACCAGGAGGGACUCUGGAAGAUACGAGAAUUGACCCUCCCCAUAAGUAGCUCACGCACUGAGACUGGUGGAGUCUCACAAGCUCUCCAACGUUAGCCGGACAAUCACGCUACCCACCAGCGGACGAGUGCAGCGAAGAGGGUGAGGCCUUUCUCCCAACCAACCGAAGCAGAAACACUUAAGUAUUCCAGUUGCAUAUGUAAUCUCAUAUAAUCGAGACUGUCACAGCCAAUUACAUUGAUUGUUUAUAAUUGUUAAUUAAAUAUAAGUCAUUAAUGAAAU
Long non-coding RNA from Sitophilus oryzae (rice weevil), 566 nucleotides. RefSeq lists it as uncharacterized. The record is from RefSeq and is a predicted model, not a curated record. NCBI's taxonomy places the organism in Eukaryota, Metazoa, Arthropoda, Insecta, Coleoptera, Curculionidae. The transcript is spliced from 2 exons.